RNAcentral lists this unclassified non-coding RNA (200 nucleotides) under Leotiomycetes sp. RNAcentral describes it as "partial internal transcribed spacer 2". The record is from RNAcentral. Lineage: Eukaryota; Fungi; Ascomycota; Leotiomycetes.
UUAAGUUCAGCGGGUAUCCCUACCUGAUCCGAGGUCAACCAUAGAAAAUUGGGGGUUGCUGGCCAGCGUCCACCGAGACCCAGACGCGAGAUAGAAUUACUACGCGUAGAGCUCGACGGCACCGCCAUUAGUUUUAAGGCCAACCGUUGCCGGCACGGCCCAAGACAAGCCGAAGCUUGAGGGUUGAAAUGACGCUCGAA